AACAAACCCUAAAAGCACUUUUACAGAAAAAUAAAAUAAAACGCAAUUAAACAAAAAUAAAACAAAAAUAAUUACAACCAAGUCAAAUUCAGUCAAUCCACACUACUUAAAAAAGUAAACCUCGAGUCCCCGGCAACGGCGCCAAAAUCUUGUUAACGGAUUGGCAAGCGUACCAAAUUGUAUCAAGUAAUAAUAAAUGGUAAGACCAAGUAUAGUUUU
This 219-nucleotide long non-coding RNA is filed under the name Vigna radiata. RNAcentral describes it as "long non-coding RNA (VRAD_LNC011660)". The record is from RNAcentral. Lineage: Eukaryota; Viridiplantae; Streptophyta; Magnoliopsida; Fabales; Fabaceae.